AGACAAAGGUGACCUUUAAUAGAUAUUCACGUCACCACUCCGUCAGAGGGUACACCAUCAUUCAUAAGGAAUGGUCCUCUUAUGACUUUCCAGACCAGAUGGGAGGGGAAAAAUAGAUACCCUGAAUGGGGAUAGGGGAACAGAUACUCCUCAGACAUAAAAAUUGAAACAAGAUACAUAAUACGUUAUGCAUGUUAAUACAGAUACAUACUUCGGACAAUUCAUGCUUCAUUCC
Molecule: long non-coding RNA, 235 nt
Filed under: Carica papaya (papaya)
Lineage: Eukaryota; Viridiplantae; Streptophyta; Magnoliopsida; Brassicales; Caricaceae
Description: long non-coding RNA (CPAP_LNC011889)
Source: RNAcentral